This 460-nucleotide ribosomal RNA is filed under the name uncultured bacterium. RNAcentral describes it as "partial 16S ribosomal RNA". It matches the Rfam family "Bacterial small subunit ribosomal RNA", at positions 338 to 795 of the family's 1533-position model. The record is from RNAcentral.
CCUACGGGAGGCAGCAGUGAGGAAUAUUGGUCAAUGGGCGCGAGCCUGAACCAGCCAAGUCGCGUGAAGGAUGACUGCCCUACGGGUUGUAAACUUCUUUUAUAAAGGAAUAAAGUGAGGCACGUGUGCCUUUUUGUGUGUACUUUAUGAAUAAGGAUCGGCUAACUCCGUGCCAGCAGCCGCGGUAAUACGGAGGAUCCGAGCGUUAUCCGGAUUUAUUGGGUUUAAAGGGAGCGUAGAUGGGUUGUUAAGUCAGUUGUGAAAGUUUGCGGCUCAACCGUAAAAUUGCAGUUGAUACUGGCAGUCUUGAGUACAGGAGAGGUAGGCGGAAUGCGUGGUGUAGCGGUGAAAUGCUUAGAUAUCACGAAGAACUCCGAUUGCGAAGGCAGCUUACUAGACGGGCACUGACAUUGAGGCUCGAAAGCGUGGGUAUCGAACAGGAUUAGAUACCCGAGUAGUC